GAAUUAUUGCAGGGGUGCCUUUAGGCUGAGAAGAAGAAAUUCUAACCCUUAGAACCUGAACCUAGAUUAUACUAGCGUAGGAAGCAAUGAAGAAGUUUAU
RNAcentral lists this non-coding RNA (100 nucleotides) under Clostridium homopropionicum. RNAcentral describes it as "TPP sequence". It matches the Rfam family "TPP riboswitch aptamer (THI element)". Rfam says of the family: Vitamin B(1) in its active form thiamin pyrophosphate (TPP) is an essential coenzyme that is synthesised by coupling of pyrimidine and thiazole moieties in bacteria. The previously detected thiamin-regulatory element, thi box was extended, resulting in a new, highly conserved RNA secondary structure, the THI element, which is widely distributed in eubacteria and also occurs in some archaea. RNAcentral also lists the same sequence under 1 other name. Lineage: Bacteria; Bacillati; Bacillota; Clostridia; Eubacteriales; Clostridiaceae. The record is from RNAcentral.